AAUAAGAUGCCUGAAUAAAAAGGAUUAUUUUGAUAGAAUAAAUUAUGUACAUUAUUACUCUUAUUA
RNAcentral lists this transfer RNA (66 nucleotides) under Meimuna opalifera. RNAcentral describes it as "tRNA-Ile". The record is from RNAcentral. Lineage: Eukaryota; Metazoa; Arthropoda; Insecta; Hemiptera; Cicadidae.